GCAUAUUUUGGGAGGUGAAAGGAAUUUGGAGCACCCAGAGGGCGAGGGAUUACUAAACAUGUGUCUCAUACCUUGCUGUGGCUGUUAUCUCCGUAUCUUCCCAUGAUGUUGACCCGGUGGCAGUUCUUAUACCAGAACGCUCCCUUGUAUGACAGAGCACAGUUGGUGACAGCUAUGUCAUUAUCAUUGUCGUAGGUUGAGAAUGGACGGCCAUUGUGGUAUGUCAUUGAAUCACCUAAAAAAGGAUUUACCAAAAAGAAUGAUCAUAACGGACAUUUAUUAUUGUAAAGUGCACAAAAUUAAAUAUUAAUACAGCAUGAUUAGAAUGCAUUGACAAAACAGUCUACCACUUUAUCACUCUAGUAUAACCCAUGCAUUUUUGGGUUAGCAUUUUUUUUUACCUGCUGUACCGCUGUAGCCUCCAACGUGCACCUUAUAGCGGCUGCGUGGCUCCGACACUGAGAAUUUGUCGUACUGAGCGAAUGCGGAUUCUUCUUUGUCUUUAAGAUCCACUCGCAGCUCGUACUGGCCGAGAGAUGUAAUCUUGUGCAGGUUUGUUAGACCUACAAACAAUAAAAGUGUACAGUGAAUACAAA
This is a long non-coding RNA of Trichomycterus rosablanca, 596 nucleotides long. RefSeq lists it as uncharacterized. The transcript has 2 exons. Lineage: Eukaryota; Metazoa; Chordata; Actinopteri; Siluriformes; Trichomycteridae. The record is from RefSeq and is a predicted model, not a curated record.